UACGUAGGGGGCAAGCGUUGUCCGGAAUCAUUGGGCGUAAAGCGCGUGUAGGCGGUUCGGUAAGUCGGCUGUGAAAGUCCAGGGCUCAACCCUGGGAUGCCGGUCGAUACUGCCGGACUAGAGUUCGGAAGAGGCGAGUGGAAUUCCCGGUGUAGCGGUGAAAUGCGCAGAUAUCGGGAGGGACACCAAUGGCGAAGGCAGCUCGCUGGGACGUUACUGACGCUGAGACGCGAAAGCGUGGGGAGCAAACAGG
Molecule: ribosomal RNA, 253 nt
Filed under: uncultured bacterium
Lineage: Bacteria
Description: partial 16S ribosomal RNA
Rfam family: Bacterial small subunit ribosomal RNA
Source: RNAcentral